Molecule: unclassified non-coding RNA, 257 nt
Filed under: Hevea brasiliensis (rubber tree)
Lineage: Eukaryota; Viridiplantae; Streptophyta; Magnoliopsida; Malpighiales; Euphorbiaceae
Source: RNAcentral
UGCUGCAACUGAGGGAAUUUGGAGUUUUGUUCUGAUACUGAUACUUCUGGGUUUUCAACCCUGUAUUUUUAUUAGGUUUAGACUUAAUGCAUCUAAGUUUUCUGUUCACAGCUUAACAAUUUUUGAUGAUGGGGUAGUUACAAGGAUGAUUUCCCAAUUGUUAAAUAAAUCCUUAAUCAACUUCUAUGCAACUCUAAUCUCACACUGAAGAGUUAGUAAUAUCCCGAUUUGACUUGUUUUCGUAUAAUAGGUUCCAG